AUACUUACCUGGCAGGGGAGAUACCAUGAUCACGAAGGUGGUUUUCCCAGGGCAAGGCUUAUCCAUUGCACACCGGAUGUGCUGACCCUUGCGAUUUCCCCAAAUGUGAGAAACUCUACUGCAUAAUUUGUGCUAGUAGGGGACUGUGUUGGCGCUCUCCGCAG
Molecule: small nuclear RNA, 164 nt
Filed under: Castor canadensis (American beaver)
Lineage: Eukaryota; Metazoa; Chordata; Mammalia; Rodentia; Castoridae
Description: U1 spliceosomal RNA (ENSCCNG00000014859.1)
Rfam family: U1 spliceosomal RNA
About the family: U1 is a small nuclear RNA (snRNA) component of the spliceosome (involved in pre-mRNA splicing). Its 5' end forms complementary base pairs with the 5' splice junction, thus defining the 5' donor site of an intron. There are significant differences in sequence and secondary structure between metazoan and yeast U1 snRNAs, the latter being much longer (568 nucleotides as compared to 164 nucleotides in human).
Source: Rfam by way of RNAcentral